This 394-nucleotide RNase P RNA is filed under the name Spirochaetaceae bacterium. Its description in RNAcentral is "RNase P RNA component class A". It matches the Rfam family "Bacterial RNase P class A". From Rfam's summary of the family: Ribonuclease P (RNase P) is a ubiquitous endoribonuclease, found in archaea, bacteria and eukarya as well as chloroplasts and mitochondria. The record is from RNAcentral. Lineage: Bacteria; Pseudomonadati; Spirochaetota; Spirochaetia; Spirochaetales; Spirochaetaceae.
GAGGCAGGCCGGAACGUCGCUGGUUGCGCUCACGUAAGUGGGUUGUAGCGGGAGGAAAGUCCGGGCUCCGUAGAGCACGACGCCGGGUAAUGCCCGGACCCGUUUACGGGAUAGAAAGUGCCGCAGAAACGAUACCGCCUUCGACGCCUACGGGAGUUUAGGGUAAGGGUGAAAUGGUGAGGUAAGAGCUCACCGGCGAUGAGGCAACUCAUCGUGCUGAGGUAAACCUCGUCGGGAGCAAGGCCAAGCAGCGGGUGAGUUGCUCGCUCAUACGCCCGCGGGUAGGUUGCUGGAGUCGGUCGGUGACGGCUGGCGUAGAGAGAUGACGUUCGCGAUCCUUUGGGUCAAGGCCCGAAUGACCGUACAGAACCCGGCUUAUAGGCCUGCUUCGCUC